This 649-nucleotide unclassified non-coding RNA is filed under the name Allium negevense. RNAcentral describes it as "sequence contains ITS1, 5.8S rRNA gene and ITS2". The stretch from base 247 to 402 matches the Rfam family "5.8S ribosomal RNA". Lineage: Eukaryota; Viridiplantae; Streptophyta; Magnoliopsida; Asparagales; Amaryllidaceae. The record is from RNAcentral.
UCAAGUCCCUCUUCGAGAGUCCGAGAACGUGUAACAUUAACCGUCUUGAACCAGCCAGUCUGUUGAGCGCAGUUCUGCUUUCUAGAUGGACGCCCCUUUGUCGCAUCCGGCUUGCUUCCUUCGAAGCAAGAAGGAGUGCGGGAAUAAAGACCUCGGCGUGGUUUGCGCCAAGGACGGAUGUUGUUGGAGUGCAUUGCCUACUUUAUGUGGUGCGGUGUUUCCUCCUACUGGUGUGAGAAUAUGCAUGACUCUUGGCAACGGAUAUCUAGGCUCUCGCGUCGAUGAAGAACGUAGCAAAAUGCGAUACUUGGUGUGAAUUGCAGAAUCCCGUGAACCAUCGAGUCUUUGAACGCAAGUUGCGCCUAAGACCGUCAGGUCAAGGGCACGUCUGCUUGGGCGUCGCGCCUUACGUCACUCCAAACCCCACUACCACGCGUAAACCGCUAUGCUGGUAAGGGUGUGUGUGGAUGUGGAUAGUGACCCUUCGUGCCUCCGGUGCGCGGUGGGUUUGAGUGAUGGUCGUUGCUAGGUUUCGCACGCGGCGAAUGGUGGAUUAGAGUAUGCGCCUCCGGUUGUGCAAAAGACUCCCAGCCACGACUUACAAGAAGUAAAACCUGUGACGGUGCUUGCACAUUUGCAAGCUCGGACC